GGUUUUUCUGCAGGUCAGGACUCAAACCCAGAGAGCUUUACCUGGUAUUCAGGCCUUUUCAGGGUUAUGAAGGCCCUUUAAUCAAAGUUACCUGUAAGCAGGUGAGAAAUAUCAAUGAUUCCUCCAAGUAAAUGAAUCACAAGUAUGUAAUGCAUAUUAUACCUACAUGACUUAUUAAUAUUCUCACUGGACCCUUUUUACUGUUCCAGGGAUUUCUAAAGUGGUCAUAAAAUCCUCCUAAACUGUGACGUACUCCGCUGUUAUAGUAGAAGCACAGUCACAGCGAUGUUAACUAGAUAAAGAAGGUCGUCCAGACUAACUUUGAUGUUGGUUUGAGAAAGCCAUGCAGUCUAUCAGACAGAAGGAGGUGUUCUGCAUGGCUGCUAAGAGUUUGACAUCAGCCUCUCAAAGCUUUUCAUUGCACUGGGGGUUAAUGCCACAGUAAGACAACUGUACAAUCUCUUUGUGAUUAGUUGUACUUUAUUAUUUGCAUUUAGCAUUGUUUUCCCUGAUAUCAGUGACCCAUCAGAACAGACCUGAGAACCACUGCUGUAGAGAUCAUGAAUGAGAUGAAAAAGCACACAUCAUGUCAAGCUCAUAUCAUAAGAGUGUGAUGUGAGGAUGAGAUGGAUCCAGCACGUUUGCUAUAAUGAUGUUUGUUCCUCUUUGUCAGGGCGUUCGCUCUGACCCGGAUAUUCCCCAGACUUUACGGCUGGAGUUUGCCAAAGCCAACACCAAGAUGGCCAAGAACAAACUAGUAGGAAUGCUAAACCCUUCGGCAUCCAGACAGAGUCCUGCACCUCUGUGUCAGUCGAGAGCCCUAAAUGGAGAAGCAGAUGAUCUGCCUCCAGUGUUUGUGUCAGAUUCGCUGGCUGCCGACCGUUCUGUUGACGUCUGUGUGAGUAUAAGUGUCCUCAUAAACCAUAUAUCCAAGCACACGCAGAGUAAACACAAGAUUUCUACAUUACACACCUGUGGAAAAUGACUCCACGAACACCCUCAGCUCUCCUCCAUCAGAGCAGAGCAAUGAUUCGGCUUAACAUCCUUUAAUCAGUAUUUCUGAGUCAGUGAUGACAAAGAACCCAUUUAUGAAAGAUAAUAUCAAGAUCAUGCCUGUCACUGAAUCUUGUUUUGUCUGAGAUGUUGUUUCGACAUUUAAAUCAGAAAAGAAAAAGGACUGAUUUGUGUUCAUGGAGCAGCUUUGUGUGUCUCUGCGGCUUGAGUUUGAUGUUUUUCAGUCUGCAGGUGCGGCGGCGACACAGACGUCCUGAUCUUUCUCUGUUCAUCUGAAUUACUCUCCCAUCUGUCUUCUGCCUGAAACCAGAAACAAGAAGUGAGAGACUGUUGUCUCUGAUCUCAGGCUGCUGUGAACCACAGAACACAAGAACAGACCUCUCUCUCCUGGACGUCCCUUCUUACAUUGUGUGUCAACUUUAUUAUAGUUAAUAUAUGCAUGAACUAUGAUCAUUUACAAUGUUAUUCUUAUUGGUUCAAUCAAUAAUUACUGUAAGUUCUAACGGGGUUGAUGCAUGAUGCCUUGCCAAAAAGAUUGCAAUAUUUACACAUUUUUAUAAUAAAUUAAAUGAAAUGUUUUCGGUGCCAUUUUAGUGUAAUUUCUAUAUGUUGUUUCUUAUAUGUACAAUAAUGUUUUUGAUGUUUUAUUGAGCUGUCAUUAAUCUGCUUCAAUCAUUAAAAACAUUGUGAGACAUGUUUGAAAACAGGCUGAGAGACUCGUUUAAUGUUUAAAUAUAGUUAGAGAAACUUCGUCCCCCUCAGAUGUACUAAUAAGCAGUGUUUCUGCGGGCCGGAGCACAUGCUGCUGGAUAUAAACUUGAGUUCUGGCAAAUGUUGUGCUUACAUGCUUUUCCACUUUCAGCCUUAAAAAACCUUAUUAUAUUUGUGCUAGUCUGUGUCUAAUUGUGUGUCCUCUGGAAUCAAAACG
Sinocyclocheilus grahami is the source of this 1942-nucleotide long non-coding RNA. RefSeq lists it as uncharacterized. Lineage: Eukaryota; Metazoa; Chordata; Actinopteri; Cypriniformes; Cyprinidae. The transcript has 4 exons. The record is from RefSeq and is a predicted model, not a curated record.